This is a long non-coding RNA of Felis catus (domestic cat), 5111 nucleotides long. RefSeq lists it as uncharacterized. The transcript has 4 exons. The record is from RefSeq and is a predicted model, not a curated record. Lineage: Eukaryota; Metazoa; Chordata; Mammalia; Carnivora; Felidae.
UCAGCCAGAGGAAAGGCUGGGGGAGGGGAGUCCCAAAGCUGUGAGGAUCCCCACCCAGAAAGGGAGGCUCUGUCUGUCCUGCUGGUGUGAGGGAAGGUUUCUCAGGUGAGAGCUGGUUCAUACGCUCGGUCUCAUACACGAGGGACCCCUGUGUACCAAGCCUCCUGCUGCUGAGAAUACAAGGUGAGGCUUAGUCGUCUUUCUCUCAGGGACAACUGAAAAGAGAAUGACCACCCCUUUUCCUGUGAGUGUCACCCCUUCACUUUCAGAAGCUCAUCCAGCCAGCUGAGGCCUCAGACCACCUAAUUCACGCUGUCCCCUCAUCCCCCGCGGACAGGUCUGGUUCCCCGAUGCUAGAAGACCUCAGAACCUCACUGUUCCCAACCAGUCUGGCCCCAUCCUUUCCAGACCUCCCAGAAACUGAAGAAGGAAAGAAUGGGAGGAGGGGACCGUGUGGUCCCAGAGAAAUGGCUGCUGACAGAUGGGACAAAGGCCCUAGAACUCCGAACACCCCCCACACACACACACCCAGAAAAUGGCCACGAGUGGCAGAGGAGCUGUGUCUGUUUCUCUGCCAAGCCGCACACCACAUUCCCACGGGAGCCACUCGGCACAGGGUGGAGACAGCUGUUCCCCUCAGCAGAUGUUCUCGCGGGAGGCAGGGGAGCUCACUCCCAAGCCGGAUCCUCAUGACUCACCCCGUAGGCCUAAGCGGCCUGCUGAGCCUGCCGUGUGACGAAGGCAGAUCAGACAGCCAGUGGGGGGCCCCGCAGCCUUCCGCAAAAUGAAGCUGCUAUAGUAGCUUUGCCGGCACCUUCCUGCUGCGAGGGCAGAGGCUAUCUCUGUCCCUGCUGUCCCCCUAAGGCCGAGCACAAUGCUGGCCUUGAAUUCCUGUGCAUUUAUUAAGCACCUGCCUUGUGGCUGGCAGUAUGCAGCCUCACUGCAGUAUGCAGUCUACUGAGGUAGACACAGGAGCUCCUCACAAAACUGACAGAUGGUGGCAUUAAGGUUAUGACAGUGGCAUGCACAGGGGCUAUGGGACUCAGGCUGGGCCCCUGUUGGCUGUGCUGAACCAGAGGAGAAGUCUAUGGGGCCCGUCAGGCCCAGGGAGAGCCCCGGCCCUCAGAAGGUUCGUCACACCAGAAGAUUCCCAGGCCCAUCCCGCGUUGUUUCAGAUCCUACCAGGUCCUCUGCCAGAAACAAGCCUGUCCUGGAGGCUCUCCCACCUCAGCAAGGCUCAGAAACCUUUCCUGACUGUCACACCCUUCUCCGUGAGGCUCACCUCCUGGAAGGUUCUCGCUGAGCAUUCCCAGCCACACCACCCUAGUCUGCAGUCCACACUACGUGAAAACUCAAGGAGACAAAGAGAAGGUGGCGUGGCCAAGAUCCAGGGAGGGUCUAGCGCCAGGGAGGGUAUGAGGCCAGGAUGUCCAGACCGUGACGCCCAAUCCCUCUGAGUCCAAGUUCCCUCAGGGGGUAAUAGGAAGGGGCAGGAUCCCACUGUCUGGGCUGCCGGAUCCGGGCACUGUUCUCUGAAGCCAGGCACCCUGUCUCCCAACCCCUCUACCUCCAUUCCUGGCCCAGCUACCUCCCAGCUUUCUGGAUUUUCUCAUAGCACAUCACUCACCACGCUGUGUUUCUCUUAGUUGCAUGAAACCUAUUCUGCCUGAGAAACUCAUUUGGAUUUAAUGGGGUAAGAAGGUGUUGAAGUUAGAAAUAUUUGCUUAGUUUAGCAAUAUGUAUAAGCACAUGUCACCUUCAUUUUACUGAAGUGAAGCCUCCUCACCAGGCUGUGAGCUGGAUCAGGCACUAAUUUCUACAGAGUCAAUGUAAUAUUUUUAAUCAUCCCCUCCAAUAAUUUACAACAUGAUUUUUCGAGACAACAUGGCCAGCACAGUUAGUCUGGACCCAGUCAUUGAACAUGGUCCUGAUGAUUUGCUUUGUUAUUUCCUUAGGGGAACCACUCAGUCCCUCCACACAGUUUUCUUCUCCAAAUAUUGUCCCCUUUGUCCUUCUAUCCAUCUCUGAAAGUGCAUGAGGAAGACCCGACGCCCCCAAAUGUCCUCACCCUCACAUCAGGGACGUCUGGGGGAGCAGCGGGGCUCUGGCAGACUGCUUAUUCCGGGAAUGAAAGUUUGGAGGUCCAGCAGUGGGCACCAAGGGUGUGGGUUGUCCUGGGGAUCAAUCAGGGUGCUUUCUUGCAAGUGACAGAAACGGACCGGCUGAGUAAAGAAGAGGGAUUUAUUAAAGGGCAUUGGGCGGUCUGAGAAGGCUGGGAAACAGCUGAUCCAGGACCAGUCAAGCUGCAGUGGGUCUGCUGAGGCCUUCCGAGAUAUUCCUGGCCACCAACACUUAUGAUAACACUGGGUCAAUAGCAACCCUGACACAGGACGGUGGAUUCUAUUGCUACCACCCACCAUGCCCUCUUGGAUGUGACUAAGAGCAUUCCGCAUGGCACGGACUUCUCUGAGACCAUGGCUCCCGAUUUAAAACCCAGGGGGUCCAAGUCACAAACCCCUGCUCAUCUGCAGGUCAGGCAAGCAAGCAUUUGGCAAUUCAGCUUCUCCCAGGGGGCUGAGAAGCCAGGCAGCAAAAAAUCACUGAUAUGCGUCCAGUGCACCGAGACUGCUUCCCCUCCUUACCAACUCCCUGGAGCCCAAGAUCCUGAAUCAUCUGUUUGAUUAGAAGUUCUGAACCCUAUUGAACUCUACACUAGAGCCUCCCCUCUUACGUUAUUUCACCCAUGAGGCAAAGCCACCCUCAUCUGGAAAGGAAGGAACCUUCUCCUUGCCCAUCCUGCGCUGAGACGGAGGGACUGUACCGAGCAAUCCAGGAACAAAGAAACUGCUCACCAGAAAGUGGUUGAUGAUCACACACUCCUGGGACAGAAAUCCACAGAGGACUUUCAGGCUUGGGAAGCCCAAAGGUGGGGCUCCCUCAGCCGACUGGUGGCCCUGAAUCCUGAUAGACCAAUCCUAUAAUCCCUUCUGUGAAGGGGCCAAGAGUCUUCUAUAAGACCCUUGGGGCCCCUUCUACCCACAUGGGAAAGCCCCCUUCCUUGAAGACCGUGGACUCCAACAAAUCUGAAACACAAUCUCCAAGACCAGACAGUAGAAGGCCUCCUCCAGGUACACUCCAAGAAGGCGAGCUCACUGUAGGGACCUCUAUAGCAGCAAGAAGCUCUGCCUCUUUGGAAAACUCCAUAUGAUCAACAUUUGACCAGAGCCCAGCCAGGGCAAGCCAAUCUCCAGGACACAGACCUUGGCAGCAGACCUGUCCCUUCUGGAAACAUCUGGCGCUCGCUCCAUACCGAGGUGGUGAAACUGAAGGCCCAGAGCAGUGAUGGGACUUGGCCCGGGUCCUGCUGAAAUUUCCCUGCCCGGCCUCCGGUCCUGCUAGCAGAGUGGACACCGACUGUUCCCAGGAAGGGCGCCUUCUGUGCAAGACAUUCGCCUUGCCUUCGUGAAGGAGAAAAAGGGGAAAGGGGCCCACAGGAAUGGAGCCUUUUCUCUCCCUGUCCCCGCCUUUCUUUCAGAGGUCCGGAAGGGAGGAGAGGGUGCCAGUCUUGUGACUCUCUGAUGCCUGGGGUUUGGCACACUUCAAGCUGGCUCUGACUUUCCCCAAUCCCUGCUCCCUCUCCGUGCCUCCCCACAACUGACCACUCUCCCUCAGUCCUAACCUUCAAGCUUGCUUUCUGUCUUCACCCUCAAGAAUACAAUAGGCUCCCACUCUUGCCAGACAAGGCCCUCCCUUGGCUGACUUGCCUCUCUCCCAAGCCUGCGUCUUCUGGAUACCCUUACCUGAAGCCCCCACCCCACCCCCAGUCUGGGCACGCAGGGCCCUGCAAUGUCACAAGCUGCCCCCCUGCUUCCCUCAGUUUCCCUUUGGCGAGGUCACUCAUUUUCUUGUACUGCAGCCCUCUAAGUCUGGGUGCACUACAUGGUUAGCCCAAAGGGCUGCUCUCCAACUAGAUUUCCCUCCUUAUCCCAUCUGUCCUCCUGCCUUUUGGGUCUCCCUCCCCACCCCCACCUCCCGCCUCCACCCUACCACCAGCUCUGCACAGACUUUUCCUCUCCAGGAAGCCCACCCAGCUAGCCCAAGCUGGGGGAGCUGCCCUCCCUCCCCACCGUUGUCCUUUUCAACCUACAAACCUAGUGUCUGUUUCCUGGAUUCCUUCCCUGCAGGGAUGCAAACCCACAGGCUUCCUGGGUGCUCCAUGGACACUUAGGGAACCAGUGGGCAGAUAAAGGACACAUAACCGGAUUCCCUACAGCACUGCCAGACUCCCAAGGCCCAGUGGACUCUUCUCUCUUCUUUGCCAUCAGGAGGAGUGUUCACACUGAGCAUUCCAUAAACUGCCUCCAACAGCUCCUGUUCAGCUGCUCAGUGGGUCCAGCUUUCCCAGGCCUGGCCCCUGGGUCAGAGCAGAAACAAGCAGACCUCAUGAGGGAAAAGCAGGAAGGAGGGACCUGAGUCCCCGUUCUAGACCCAAGAGGGAGAGAGCUUCCUCUGCAGCUCAAUGUGGGAGGAACCCAAGGCAGUUGCGUGCAGACUACCUCCUUUCCGGAAGGUUCCUCCAGCCUAGUCCUUCAGCUUCCAUCCACCCCACCUCCCAGACCCCAGCUAAGUGAGAGUGGCUCCACAGCCUGCCCCAGGGAAGCCUCGCUCUGCAGGUAACUCUUCCAGGAUCUGGUCUGCCCCAAAGGACCAUAGUCCAGUGGUCAGAAGCAAGUGCUCACCAGAAGUUUCCACUUCUGAAUAGGAGAAGUAGAGUCCAGGGUGUUGGCUCUGCCCACACUGGGGUGGGGUUGGGUGGGGUCCAUUUAUUUAAUUUAGUCUCAAUGCUCAAAGAGAGGGGAGACUUAGAUAGUUACCCAGCUGUCACUAAGUGCAUCCAAGGGACACCAAAUACAGGAAGAACCAGCCUGAAGAAGCGACAUUCAGACAGAAGGAGGUGACCAAGGUGCACCGGAAGCUUCCAACCUGUCCUUAAUAAGGGGUUUCAGAGGAUGUGGCUGUUGUCCCCUGGAAAUGAGUUCAGUGACUGGGUCUAGACUCAAUCUGCUCGGCUCCUUAAAUAGAUGUAAAUAAAACAAGUGUCAGAGACGUUC